RNAcentral lists this ribosomal RNA (326 nucleotides) under uncultured bacterium. RNAcentral's name for it is "bacterial SSU rRNA". It matches the Rfam family "Bacterial small subunit ribosomal RNA", at positions 28 to 334 of the family's 1533-position model. The record is from RNAcentral.
GACGAACGCUGGCGGCGUGCCUAACACAUGCAAGUCGAACGGAACUAUUUUGACUGAUUCCUUCGGGAUGAAGAAUUUUUAGUUUAGUGGCGGACGGGUGAGUAACGCGUGAGUAACCUGCCUCUGAGAGGGGAAUAACGUUCUGAAAAGAACGCUAAUACCGCAUAACACAUAUUUGCCGCAUGACAGAUAUGUCAAAGAUUUUAUCGCUCGGAGAUGGACUCGCGUCCGAUUAGUUAGUUGGUGAGGUAACGGCUCACCAAGACCGCGAUCGGUAGCCGGACUGAGAGGUUGAACGGCCACAUUGGGACUGAGACACGGCCCAG